GAAAUGCGAUAAGUAAUGUGAAUUGCAGAAUUCAGUGAAUCAUCGAAUCUUUGAACGCACAUUGCGCCCGCCAGUAUUCUGGCGGGCAUGCCUGUCCGAGCGUCAUUUCAACCCUCGAACCCCUCCGGGGGUCCGGCGUUGGGGAUCGGGAACCCCUAAGACGGGAUCCCGGCCCCGAAAUACAGUGGCGGUCUCGCCGCAGCCUCUCCUGCGCAGUAGUUUGCACAACUCGCACCGGGAGCGCGGCGCGUCCACGUCCGUAAAACACCCAACUUCUGAAAUGUUGACCUCGGAUCAGGUAGGAAUACCCGCUGAACUUAA
Molecule: unclassified non-coding RNA, 321 nt
Filed under: uncultured Hypocreaceae
Lineage: Eukaryota; Fungi; Ascomycota; Sordariomycetes; Hypocreales
Description: sequence contains ITS1
Rfam family: 5.8S ribosomal RNA (bases 1-105)
Source: RNAcentral